This 378-nucleotide unclassified non-coding RNA is filed under the name soil metagenome. Its description in RNAcentral is "partial contains 5.8S ribosomal RNA, internal transcribed spacer 2, and large subunit ribosomal RNA". The stretch from base 1 to 120 matches the Rfam family "5.8S ribosomal RNA", at positions 35 to 154 of the family's 154-position model. The record is from RNAcentral.
GAUGAAGAACGUAGCGAAAUGCGAUAAGUAAUGUGAAUUGCAGAAUUCAGUGAAUCAUCGAAUCUUUGAACGCACAUUGCGCCCGCCAGUAUUCUGGCGGGCAUGCCUGUUCGAGCGUCAUUUCAACCCUCAAGCCCCAGCGGCCUGGUGUUGGGGACCGGCGACCUCGCCCGAGCCCGCCCUCCGGGCGCGUGCCCGGUGCGUCCGCCGCCCCCGAAAUGAAUUGGCGGCCUCGUCGCGGCCUCCUCUGCGUAGUAGCACAACCUCGCAAGCGGGAGCGCGACGCGGCCACUGCCGUAAAACGCCCAACUUUUUUAGAGUUGACCUCGGAUCAGGUAGGAAUACCCGCUGAACUUAAGCAUAUCAAUAAGCGGAGGA